RNAcentral lists this ribosomal RNA (442 nucleotides) under uncultured bacterium. Its description in RNAcentral is "partial 16S ribosomal RNA". It matches the Rfam family "Bacterial small subunit ribosomal RNA", at positions 338 to 795 of the family's 1533-position model. The record is from RNAcentral.
CCUACGGGGGGCAGCAGUGGGGAAUAUUGGGCAAUGGGCGCAAGCCUGACCCAGCAACGCCGCGUGAAGGAAGAAGGCUUUCGGGUUGUAAACUUCUUUUAAGGGGGAAGAGCAGAAGACGGUACCCCUUGAAUAAGCCACGGCUAACUACGUGCCAGCAACCGCGGUAAUACGUAGGUGGCAAGCGUUGUCCGGAUUUACUGGGUGUAAAGGGCGUGCAGCCGGAGAGACAAGUCAGAUGUGAAAUCCACGGGCUCAACCCGUGAACUGCAUUUGAAACUGUUUCCCUUGAGUGUCGGAGAGGUAAUCGGAAUUCCUUGUGUAGCGGUGAAAUGCGUAGAUAUAAGGAAGAACACCAGUGGCGAAGGCGGAUUACUGGACGAUAACUGACGGUGAGGCGCGAAAGCGUGGGGAGCAAACAGGAUUAGAUACCCCUGUAGUC